RNAcentral lists this ribosomal RNA (432 nucleotides) under uncultured bacterium. Its description in RNAcentral is "partial 16S ribosomal RNA". It matches the Rfam family "Bacterial small subunit ribosomal RNA", at positions 29 to 507 of the family's 1533-position model. The record is from RNAcentral.
AACGAACGCUGGCGGCAUGCCUAACACAUGCAAGUCGAACGAGCCCUUCGGGACUAGUGGCGCACGGGUUCGUAACGCGUGGGAACCUUCCCAUAGGUUCGGCAUAACUCCACGAAAGGGGUGCUAAUACCGGACAAUGUCUACGAACCAAUGAUAUAUCGCCUUGGGAUGGGCCAACGUUAGAUACCUAGUUGGUAGGGCAAAAGCCUACCAAGGCGACGAUCCAUAGAUGGGCUGAGAGAAUGAUCAGCCACACUGGGACUGCGACACGGCCCAGACUCCUACGGGAGGCAGCAGUGGGGAAUAGUGGACAGUGGGCGAAGGCCUGAUCCAGCAAUGCCGCGUGAGUGAUGAAGGCCUUAGGGUUGUAAAGCUCUUUUACCCGGGAUGAUAAUGACAGUACCGGGAGAAUAAGCUCCGGCUAACUCCGUG